This 128-nucleotide ribosomal RNA is filed under the name Microcebus murinus (gray mouse lemur). Lineage: Eukaryota; Metazoa; Chordata; Mammalia; Primates; Cheirogaleidae. The record is from RNAcentral.
GUCUACGGCCAUACCACCCUGAACACACCCAAUCUGUUUCUAUCUCGGAAGCUAAGCAGGGUCGGGCCUGGUUAGUACGUGGAUGGGAGAAAUACCUCCCCCAUCUAUAGGAGUGGGUUCUAUUAAUA